UACGGAGGGUGCAAGCGUUAUCCGGAUUCACUGGGUUUAAAGGGUGCGUAGGCGGCCAACUAAGUCAUACGUGAAAUCCCUCAGCUUAACUGGGGAACUGCGUGUGAUACUGGAUGGCUUGGAUUUGGGAGAGGGAUGCGGAAUUCCAGGUGUAGCGGUGAAAUGCGUAGAUAUCUGGAGGAACACCGAUGGCGAAGGCAGCCUUCUGGGCCAACACUGACGCUCAUGCACGAAAGCGUGGGGAGCAAACAGG
Molecule: ribosomal RNA, 253 nt
Filed under: uncultured bacterium
Lineage: Bacteria
Description: partial 16S ribosomal RNA
Rfam family: Bacterial small subunit ribosomal RNA
Source: RNAcentral